This 300-nucleotide ribosomal RNA is filed under the name Triticum aestivum (bread wheat). Its description in RNAcentral is "partial small subunit ribosomal RNA". Lineage: Eukaryota; Viridiplantae; Streptophyta; Magnoliopsida; Poales; Poaceae. The record is from RNAcentral.
AUGGGUCCUCUUAACAUUCUCAAAUAUUUGAAGAAGCACUCCACAAUCUAUCCUAAUGCUAUUAUUACAUACAUAAUUUUGUUGACCAUUCCUGUGACUGUUGCAUCUGCAGAAAGGAGUUUUCUUAAAUUCAAGCUGUUGAAAUCCUACUUGUGUUCUACUAUGACACAACAAAGGCUCAAUGGAUUGGCGAUAAUAGCACUUGAAAAUGUUGUCUUAGAGAAGAUAAAUUACGAAGAUAUGAUUGAAGACUUUAUUUCAAGAAAUACUAGAUGGAUGCUACUUUUUGGUAGAACAUGA